GUGGACGUGCCGGAAUGGUUAUCGGGCAUACUAAAAAUCAUGUGGGCUCCCCGCGCAGGUUCGAAUCCUGCCGCUCACG
Nelumbo nucifera (sacred lotus) is the source of this 79-nucleotide non-coding RNA. The record is from Rfam. NCBI's taxonomy places the organism in Eukaryota, Viridiplantae, Streptophyta, Magnoliopsida, Proteales, Nelumbonaceae.